AUUGAACGCUGGCGGCAUGCCUUACACAUGCAAGUCGAACGGUAACAGGUCUUCGGGUGCUGACGAGUGGCGCACGGGUGAGUAAUACAUCGGAACGUGCCCAGACGUGGGGGAUAACGAGGCGAAAGCUUUGCUAAUACCGCAUACGAUCUAAGGAUGAAAGCAGGGGACCGCAAGGCCUUGCGCGUUUGGAGCGGCCGAUGGCAGAUUAGGUAGUUGGUGGGAUAAAAGCUUACCAAGCCGACGAUCUGUAGCUGGUCUGAGAGGACGACCAGCCACACUGGGACUGAGACACGGCCCAGACUCCUACGGGAGGCAGCAGUGGGGAAUUUUGGACAAUGGGCGAAAGCCUGAUCCAGCAAUGCCGCGUGCAGGAUGAAGGCCUUCGGGUUGUAAACUGCUUUUGUACGGAACGAAAAGGCUCUGGCUAAUACCUGGGGCACAUGACGGUACCGGAAGAAUAAGCACCGGCUAACUACGUG
Molecule: ribosomal RNA, 482 nt
Filed under: uncultured bacterium
Lineage: Bacteria
Description: partial 16S ribosomal RNA
Rfam family: Bacterial small subunit ribosomal RNA
Source: RNAcentral